Molecule: ribosomal RNA, 479 nt
Filed under: Salmonella enterica subsp. enterica serovar Panama
Lineage: Bacteria; Pseudomonadati; Pseudomonadota; Gammaproteobacteria; Enterobacterales; Enterobacteriaceae
Description: bacterial SSU rRNA
Rfam family: Bacterial small subunit ribosomal RNA
Source: RNAcentral
CAGGAAGCAGCUUGCUGCUUUGCUGACGAGUGGCGGACGGGUGAGUAAUGUCUGGGAAACUGCCUGAUGGAGGGGGAUAACUACUGGAAACGGUGGCUAAUACCGCAUAACGUCGCAAGACCAAAGAGGGGGACCUUCGGGCCUCUUGCCAUCAGAUGUGCCCAGAUGGGAUUAGCUUGUUGGUGAGGUAACGGCUCACCAAGGCGACGAUCCCUAGCUGGUCUGAGAGGAUGACCAGCCACACUGGAACUGAGACACGGUCCAGACUCCUACGGGAGGCAGCAGUGGGGAAUAUUGCACAAUGGGCGCAAGCCUGAUGCAGCCAUGCCGCGUGUAUGAAGAAGGCCUUCGGGUUGUAAAGUACUUUCAGCGGGGAGGAAGGUGUUGUGGUUAAUAACCGCAGCAAUUGACGUUACCCGCAGAAGAAGCACCGGCUAACUCCGUGCCAGCAGCCGCGGUAAUACGGAGGGUGCAAGCGU